AAAUUGAAGAGUUUGAUCAUGGCUCAGAUUGAACGCUGGCGGCAGGCCUAACACAUGCAAGUCGAGCGGAAACGAGUUAUCUGAACCUUCGGGGAACGAUAACGGCGUCGAGCGGCGGACGGGUGAGUAAUGCCUAGGAAAUUGCCCUGAUGUGGGGGAUAACCAUUGGAAACGAUGGCUAAUACCGCAUGAUGCCUACGGGCCAAAGAGGGGGACCUUCGGGCCUCUCGCGUCAGGAUAUGCCUAGGUGGGAUUAGCUAGUUGGUGAGGUAAGGGCUCACCAAGGCGACGAUCCCUAGCUGGUCUGAGAGGAUGAUCAGCCACACUGGAACUGAGACACGGUC
This 344-nucleotide ribosomal RNA is filed under the name Vibrio parahaemolyticus. RNAcentral describes it as "bacterial SSU rRNA". It matches the Rfam family "Bacterial small subunit ribosomal RNA", at positions 1 to 331 of the family's 1533-position model. Lineage: Bacteria; Pseudomonadati; Pseudomonadota; Gammaproteobacteria; Vibrionales; Vibrionaceae. The record is from RNAcentral.